AGGGCCUGCAGGUAUAGGGGGAUCCUGCAAGCAGAAAUCUGUGGUGGGCGGGCGGCAGGUGAGCAAGGAGAACGUGUCUGUAAAGGAAGCACAGGGAACAGGUGGUGGCUUUGUAAGACAGUUGGAACCCAAGGAAGGCAGGCCAUCCCCCAGGAAAGCCUAUGUUGGUGAGGGUUAUGAUGGGAGAAUGAGUGAACUGCAGCCUGGCACCACCACACCCUGGAAGGUGCAGUUGGGAAGAAAGUUUCUGAGGCUGUAGACAUGGGGAUCGGAUGCUGGAGAAACCCCCUGCUGCUGCUGAUUGCCCUGGUCCUGUCAGCCAAGCUGGGUCACUUCCAAAGGUGGGAGGGCUUCCAGCAGAAGCUCAUGAGCAAGAAGAACAUGAAUUCAACACUCAACUUCUUCAUUCAAUCCUACAACAAUGCCAGCAACGACACCUACUUAUAUCGAGUCCAGAGGCUAAUUCGAAGUCAGAUGCAGAUGGAGUUUCGCUCUUGUUGCCCACGCUGGAGUGCAAUGGCAUGAUCUUGGCUCACUGCAACCUCCUCCUCCCAGGUUCAAGUGAUUCUCCUGCCUCAGCCUCCCAAGUAGCUGAGAUUACAGCUGACGACGGGAGUGGAGUAUAUAGUCACUGUGAAGAUUGGCUGGACCAAAUGCAAGAGGAAUGACACGAGCAAUUCUUCCUGCCCCCUGCAAAGCAAGAAGCUGAGAAAGGUUGUUCAUGGAAUAGACAUAUUUACUACAUGUCUCCGGCAGAAUUGCUGUAACACUAGGAAUAGUAUAUCUUUCAUGUCUCAUGAAAACUGUUCUCCUGGCCAAAUUGAACGAAUGCAGCUCUCUGGACUCAGAGAGGAUUGAAUGGGCAAUUAAUCAGGAGGGUGCCAGUCUCCCAGGAGAACCAGCAAAUAUCACUGAAUUACGCUGCUCAUAUUCCUGGACUCUGCUGAAGAACAAUCUCCUCCAGGAAGCGCCUUCUGAUUGCCUGGCCCACCUUCUGCCCAGGCUAACACGGAUGCCACUGCUAUCUGGCCACACUUCUAUCAAAACAUGCAAGCUGUUCUCCUUCCACUGCUCUUCAGCUCUGCCUCUGGAACCUCACUUUGAAUCCCUUGGGACAACAAAGUCAGACUGGCUGGACUCACAUCUGGCUCCACCAUUGACCAGCUGGGUGGCUGUGGGCAAAUUACUUACAUUCAACGUGCCUCAGUCUUCUCACCUGCAAAAUGGAAAUUGCCACAGCCAACCCAACCUUCAGCAACCACCAGUCUGAUCAGUCAGCAACCAUCAACAUCAAGGCAAGACCCUCCAUCAGCAAAAGGAUUAUGACUCACUGAAGGCACAGAUUGUUAGCAUUUUUAGCAGUAAAUCAUUUUUAAUUAAGGU
RNA transcript from Homo sapiens (human), 1383 nucleotides. It is a transcript of the gene named cystatin like 1, with no coding region annotated. The record is from RefSeq and is marked reviewed. Lineage: Eukaryota; Metazoa; Chordata; Mammalia; Primates; Hominidae. The transcript has 8 exons.